CCCUUAGAUGUCCUGGGCCGCACGCGCGUUACACUGAUGCAUUCAACGAGCUUAUAACCUUGGCCGAGAGGCCUGGGCAAUCUUGUUAACGUGCAUCGUGAUAGGGAUAGAUUAUUGAAAUUAUUAAUCUUGAACGAGGAAUUCCUAGUAAACGCAGAUAAUCAAUCUGCAUUGAUUACGUCCCUGCCCUUUGUACACACCGCCCGUCGCACCUACCGAUUGGAUGGUCCGGUGAAGCCUCGGGAUUGUGGUUCUUGCCGCUUUAUUGUGGCGUGACCGCGAGAACUUGUCUAAACCUUAUCAUCUAGAGGAAGGUGAAGUCGUAACA
RNAcentral lists this ribosomal RNA (328 nucleotides) under uncultured eukaryote. RNAcentral's name for it is "partial 18S ribosomal RNA". It matches the Rfam family "Eukaryotic small subunit ribosomal RNA", at positions 1470 to 1796 of the family's 1831-position model. The record is from RNAcentral.